ACAUUCUUCCAGACUGAUGCCUGCUUCUGUGGGGCAGCCGCCAACUGUGUUAACAACACACCCUUUUAAAGUGUGCCAUACAGAGAUUCAUCUGGACACAGGUUUCUAAAUAUCCCCACAGAUAGCUAAACGAUAGCUCCAGAUUCUAACAGUGUGGUCCAGUGAGAAGCCCAAUCUUUGAUCUACAGUGCAUCUUCAUGUUCUGUAUGACAUGUCAGUGCAGAUGAAUGACAAAGCUUGGAUUUGUUCCUAGAUGUGGAAGUAUCUCAGGCUAUGCUCUCAAACACUACACGGACUUGUACCUGCUCCACGCAAUGCCUAGGACAUGGCUAAGUAGAUAGCAGAUAUCGGGAAGAGUUGCACCCUCAUCUGUAGUUUCUGCCUGUGUGUUUGUUCUUCCCGUGAUGUCAAAGGCUAUCACUUGCACUGUGAGGACUGGUUCUCCAAAAGUGUCUGGGAAAGUUCAUCUUACCUUUUUGUCAUCCUUGUUAGCAUAAACAUCUCUCCAGGGCUUUCAGUAUUUGUCAGAAUGAUAUUCACAAUUGGCCUUUUCUACCCCUUGUUGUUCUGGAGUUACAUGUUGGGCUGCCAACUAGGUUUUAAGAGGUAUCCCAGUGUUCUUUGUACUCCCUCCCAACUCCCUUCAGCAUCCUAGGGCUCUCCAGCCUGACAGGGCAGGAGUCUAGGGCCUAAUUGCCACUGACUUCAUAAUAGUCAAUGUUUCCUGUUGAUGGGGUAAUGGCUUUUGCUAGUUUAAUCCUCUCAGUCCACAGAAAUUUCUUGCAUCCUGAUAGUAACACCUCUGCCAUGCAUCCCACAUACUCUUGGAGGCAGUACACUACACUCUUAGCUCUAGUAUAAAACCAUGGUUGGUUUAGGCCAAUAAGCACAUGCUCAGUUCAAAUGGAUGACUCAAUUCUGACCAAUGAGAGACAAGGGGAUGAUUCCUGACUCAGAAACCCAGCAGCAGACUUCUUUUUACUCAUCACCAAGCAAUCAUGCGGGAUGAGUAAAGAUCCAAGAGGUUCAUGAAUCCUUUUGGAACCCUGAAGGAAUCCAACUUUCAGAAUGAGAAAGAUGGAGUAAAAGGCUAAGGACAAAAAUGGGAAAGGAAUGGGUUUGGAUGAUGAACUUAGUCAAGCUUAGUGCCAAAGCCUGGACUGCAUCCAAGUUUGUUCAGGAGGUGAGAGCUGUGAUUCUUUCUCUUGAUCAAGAUGGUCUCGAGAUCCAGAUUUUUUUUUCCUCCGAUAUCAUCGAUACUGGAAGAUUUUUAAUAAACAUGAUUUAAUAAUCC
RNAcentral lists this long non-coding RNA (1294 nucleotides) under Mus caroli (Ryukyu mouse). RNAcentral describes it as "lncRNA (MGP_CAROLIEiJ_G0003070.1)". The record is from RNAcentral. Lineage: Eukaryota; Metazoa; Chordata; Mammalia; Rodentia; Muridae.